GCCCGAGCGCGGGCGGCAGGGGCGGCCGGCGGCCGGCGGCAGGGGCCGAGCGCGGGCGGCAGGGGCGUCCGGCGGCGGGAGCCGACCCUAGGCGCCGCGCCCGGAGGCGGGGGCCGUGCCCUGGCAGGGGCAGCCGGCGGCGGGGGCCGAGCCCGGCGGUGGUGAUCUGGAAGCGGCCCGAGCGACCCGAGUGGCGGCGGCAGCAGUGGGAUCUGGAGCGGACGGGAGUGGCGGCGGUUGCGGGAGGCUCGGUGGCGUCGGUGGCCGAGGG
Molecule: long non-coding RNA, 271 nt
Filed under: Setaria italica (foxtail millet)
Lineage: Eukaryota; Viridiplantae; Streptophyta; Magnoliopsida; Poales; Poaceae
Description: long non-coding RNA (SITA_LNC005774)
Source: RNAcentral